RNAcentral lists this ribosomal RNA (484 nucleotides) under uncultured bacterium. Its description in RNAcentral is "partial 16S ribosomal RNA". It matches the Rfam family "Bacterial small subunit ribosomal RNA", at positions 30 to 507 of the family's 1533-position model. The record is from RNAcentral.
AUUGAACGCUGGCGGCAGGCCUAACACAUGCAAGUCGAACGGAAGAACAGAGCUUGCUUGUGGGUUCAGCGGCGGACGGGUGAGUGAUACAUGGGAACAUGCCUGGUAAUGUUGGAUAACGGGAUGAAGCAGGGGCUAAUACCGCAUACGCCCUGAGGGCGAAAGUGGGGGAGCUUCGGACCUUCCGCUAUCAGAUGAGUCGAUGUCGGAUUAGCUAGUUGGUGGGGUAAAGGCCUACCAAGGCGACGAUCCGUAGCUGGUCUGAGAGGAUGAUCAGCCACACUGGAACUGAGACACGGUCCAGACUCCUACGGGAGGCAGCAGUGGGGAAUAUUGGACAAUGGGCGCAAGCCUGAUCCAGCCAUGCCGCGUGAGUGAAGAAGGCCUUCGGGUUGUAAAGCCCUUUUGUUGGGGAAGAAAAGCAGCAGGUUAAUACCUCGCUGUUCUGACGGUACCCAAAGAAUAAGCACCGGCUAACUUCGUG